GUGCAGCAGGCGAGAAUAGUCUACAAUGGACGAAAGUCUGAUAGUGCGACGCCGUGUGUGCGAUUAAUUCCUUCGGGAUGUAAAGCACUUUUCUAUGAGAUAAAAGCUCUUUAGGUUAAUAGCUUAUUGAGACGGAUAUUAUUAUAGGAAUAAGCUCCGGCUAACUCCGUGCCAGCAGCCGCGGUAAUACGGAAGGAGCGAGCGUUGUCCGGAUUUACUAGGCGUAAAGGGCUAGUAGGCGACUAAUUAAGUUAUAUGUUAAAUCCCACGGCUCAACUGUGGUCCUGCAUGUAAUACUGGUUAGAUAGAGUACUGUAGAGGAAGGCAGAAUUCCUGGAGUAGCGGUGGAAUGCGCAGACAUCAGGAAGAAUACCAAAAGCGAAGGCAGCCUUCUGGGCAGUUACUGACGCUGAAUAGCGAAGGUGUGGGUAGCGAACAGGAUUA
Molecule: ribosomal RNA, 444 nt
Filed under: uncultured microorganism
Description: bacterial SSU rRNA
Rfam family: Bacterial small subunit ribosomal RNA
Source: RNAcentral